This 326-nucleotide ribosomal RNA is filed under the name uncultured eukaryote. Its description in RNAcentral is "partial 18S ribosomal RNA". It matches the Rfam family "Eukaryotic small subunit ribosomal RNA", at positions 1470 to 1796 of the family's 1831-position model. The record is from RNAcentral.
CCCUUAGAUGUUCUGGGCUGCACGCGCGCUACACUGAUGCGCUCAACGAGUUUAUGACCUUGCCCGGCAGGGUUGGGUAAUCUUCUUAAAACGCAUCGUGAUGGGGAUAGAUUAUUGCAAUUAUUAAUCUUCAACGAGGAAUUCCUAGUAAGCGCGAGUCAUCAGCUCGUGCUGAUUACGUCCCUGCCCUUUGUACACACCGCCCGUCGCUCCUACCGAUUGAGCGAUCCGGUGAAUAAUUCGGACUGCAGCAAUGUUCAGCUUCUGAAUGUUGCAGUGGAAAGUUUAGUGAACCUUAUCACUUAGAGGAAGGAGAAGUCGUAACA